Molecule: ribosomal RNA, 512 nt
Filed under: uncultured Bacteroidota bacterium
Lineage: Bacteria; Pseudomonadati; Bacteroidota
Description: bacterial SSU rRNA
Rfam family: Bacterial small subunit ribosomal RNA
Source: RNAcentral
CUUGCUUCCGCCGACGACCGGCGCACGGGUGCGUAACGCGUAUACAAUCUACCUUAUACUGGGGUAUAGCCUUUAGAAAUGAAGAUUAACCCCCCAUAGUCUCUUAGAGUGGCAUCACUUCUAGAGUAAAGGUUACGGUAUAAGAUGAGUAUGCGUUCUAUUAGUUUGUUGGUGUGGUAACGGCACACCAAGACUACGAUAGAUAGGGGCCCUGAGAGGGGGAUCCCCCACACUGGUACUGAGACACGGACCAGACUCCUACGGGAGGCAGCAGUGAGGAAUAUUGGACAAUGGAGGCAACUCUGAUCCAGCCAUGCCGCGUGCAGGAAGACUGCCCUAUGGGUUGUAAACUGCUUUUAUACAGGAAGAAACACCUCUACGUGUAGAGGCUUGACGGUACUGUAAGAAUAAGGAUCGGCUAACUCCGUGCCAGCAGCCGCGGUAAUACGGAGGAUCCAAGCGUUAUCCGGAAUCAUUGGGUUUAAAGGGUCCGUAGGUGGAUAAUUAAGUCA